ACGAACGCUGGCGGCGUGCUUAACACAUGCAAGUCGAACGCUGCAGCUCAGCUUGCUGGGUGGAUGAGUGGCGAACGGGUGAGUAACACGUGAGUAACCUGCCCUCUUCUUUGGGAUAACGCCCGGAAACGGGUGCUAAUACUGGAUAUUCACUGAUUCUCGCAUGGGGGUUGGUGGAAAGGUAUUUUCUGGUGGGGGAUGGGCUCGCGGCCUAUCAGCUUGUUGGUGGGGUGAUGGCCUACCAAGGCUUUGACGGGUAGCCGGCCUGGGAGGGUGACCGGUCACAUUGGGACUGGGAUACGGCCCAGACUCCUGCGGGAGGCAGCAGUGGGGAAUAUUGCACAAUGGGCGAAAGCCUGAUGCAGCGACGCCGCGUGAGGGAUGGAGGCCUUCGGGUUGUAAACCUCUUUCGCUCAUGGUCAAGCCGCAGCUUUGGGUUGUGGUGAGGGUAGUGGGUAAAGAAGCGCCGGCUAACUACGUG
This 481-nucleotide ribosomal RNA is filed under the name uncultured bacterium. RNAcentral describes it as "partial 16S ribosomal RNA". It matches the Rfam family "Bacterial small subunit ribosomal RNA", at positions 29 to 507 of the family's 1533-position model. The record is from RNAcentral.